AUUGAACGCUGGCGGCAUGCUUUACACAUGCAAGUCGAACGGCAUCGCGGGCUUCGGCCUGGCGGCGAGUGGCGAACGGGUGAGUAAUGCAUCGGAACGUGCCCAGUAGUGGGGGAUAGCCCGGCGAAAGCCGGAUUAAUACCGCAUACGACCUGAGGGUGAAAGCGGGGGACCGAAAGGCCUCGCGCUAUUGGAGCGGCCGAUGUCGGAUUAGCUAGUUGGUGGGGUAAAGGCUUACCAAGGCGACGAUCCGUAGCUGGUCUGAGAGGACGACCAGCCACACUGGGACUGAGACACGGCCCAGACUCCUACGGGAGGCAGCAGUGGGGAAUUUUGGACAAUGGGGGCAACCCUGAUCCAGCCAUGCCGCGUGCGGGAAGAAGGCCUUCGGGUUGUAAACCGCUUUUGUUCGGGAAGAAAUCCUCUGGGCUAAUACCCCGGGGGGAUGACGGUACCGGAAGAAUAAGCACCGGCUAACUACGUG
Molecule: ribosomal RNA, 484 nt
Filed under: uncultured bacterium
Lineage: Bacteria
Description: partial 16S ribosomal RNA
Rfam family: Bacterial small subunit ribosomal RNA
Source: RNAcentral